RNAcentral lists this long non-coding RNA (213 nucleotides) under Setaria italica (foxtail millet). Its description in RNAcentral is "long non-coding RNA (SITA_LNC007196)". The record is from RNAcentral. Lineage: Eukaryota; Viridiplantae; Streptophyta; Magnoliopsida; Poales; Poaceae.
AUCCCGUCAAUUGACAGCAUGAUCCUAGUAAGCUUGCAUGGUUAAAGAUCCUGGACCGUGUUUCCCUACAAAAACUACAGUUCUGAUGGAAGGACAUUGUAUGAGCUAUGAAGGUGCAUGGUGUGUCCCAUCCUCAGUCCUCGCAAUCCAAUCAUGCACAUCCUAGAAUGUUGUGCCAUUUAAACAUUUCAACGUACAGUUUAUAUGCUCAUU